UCCCGUCCGUCUGUCUGUCUGUCUGUCUCUCUCUCUCUCUCUCUCUCUCUCUCUCUCGACUUGGCCGUGGGAGGUUACUACAGUCGGAAGGUGGCCAUCUGCAAGUAGGAAGAAGGCCCUCAAAAGAGCCCUGAUCUCGGACUUCCCAGCCUCCAAGAACUGUACUGAAAACUUAAUCCCCAGGACCUCAGAAUGUGACUGGGUUUGGAGAUAAGAUCUUUAAAGAGGUUGUUCAUUCUUCUUAUAUCCAGUCCCAUCUGGAGCCCAACGAAAUGAAUGUCACUCAGCAACACAGAAGGGCAACUGGACCACAACCAACUAUG
Molecule: long non-coding RNA, 323 nt
Organism: Nyctereutes procyonoides (raccoon dog)
Lineage: Eukaryota; Metazoa; Chordata; Mammalia; Carnivora; Canidae
Exons: 3
Source: RefSeq, a predicted model, not a curated record